RNAcentral lists this ribosomal RNA (389 nucleotides) under Picozoa sp. Its description in RNAcentral is "partial small subunit ribosomal RNA". It matches the Rfam family "Eukaryotic small subunit ribosomal RNA", at positions 582 to 975 of the family's 1831-position model. The record is from RNAcentral. Lineage: Eukaryota; Picozoa.
AUUCCAGCUCCAAUAGCGUAUAUUAAAGUUGUUGCAGUUAAAAAGCUCGUAGUCGGAUUUUGGCAUCACGCCGAACUGUCUGCCGAUUGGUAAGUACGGUUUGGCGGGUGCUUCCUUCCGGAGGCUCGUUCCCUUCUUCAUUGAAGGGUUCGUUGGUUCCGGGUCUUUUACUUUGAGAAAAUUAGAGUGUUCAAAGCAGGCCUAUGCUCUGAAUAGGUUAGCAUGGAAUAAUAGAAUAGGACUUUGGUUCUAUUUUGUUGGUUUCUAGGACCGAAGUAAUGAUUAAUAGGGAUAGUCGGGGGCAUUCGUAUUCAAACGACAGAGGUGAAAUUCUUGGACCGUUUGAAGACGAACUAAGGCAAAAGCAUUUGCCAAGAAUGUUUUCAUUG